Molecule: ribosomal RNA, 1117 nt
Filed under: Helicodendron microsporum
Lineage: Eukaryota; Fungi; Ascomycota; Leotiomycetes; Helotiales; Helotiaceae
Description: SSU rRNA
Rfam family: Eukaryotic small subunit ribosomal RNA
Source: RNAcentral
CAAUGCCCUUCGGGGCUCCUUGGUGAUUCAUAAUAACUUAACGAAUCGCAUGGCCUUGUGCCGGCGAUGGUUCAUUCAAAUUUCUGCCCUAUCAACUUUCGAUGGUAGAGUCGUGGUCUACCAUGGUUUCAACGGGUAACGGGGAAUUAGGGUUCUAUUCCGGAGAGGGAGCCUGAGAAACGGCUACCACAUCCAAGGAAGGCAGCAGGCGCGCAAAUUACCCAAUCCCGACUCGGGGAGGUAGUGACAAUAAAUACUGAUACAGGGCUCUUUUGGGUCUUGUAAUUGGAAUGAGUACAAUUUAAAUCCCUUAACGAGGAACAAUUGGAGGGCAAGUCUGGUGCCAGCAGCCGCGGUAAUUCCAGCUCCAAUAGCGUAUAUUAAAGUUGUUGCAGUUAAAAAGCUCGUAGUUGAACCUUGGGCCUGGUUGGUUGGUCCGCCUCACCGCGUGCACUGAUCCGACCGGGCCUUUCCUUCUGGGGAGCCGCAUGCCCUUCACUGGGUGUGUCGGGGAACCAGGACUUUUACUUUGAAAAAAUUAGAGUGUUCAAAGCAGGCCUAUGCUCGAAUACAUUAGCAUGGAAUAAUAGAAUAGGACGUGUGGUUCUAUUUUGGUGGUUUCUAGGACCGCCGUAAUGAUUAAUAGGGAUAGUCGGGGGCAUCAGUAUUCAAUUGUCAGAGGUGAAAUUCUUGGAUUUAUUGAAGACUAACUACUGCGAAAGCAUUUGCCAAGGAUGUUUUCAUUAAUCAGUGAACGAAAGUUAGGGGAUCGAAGACGAUCAGAAACCGUCGUAGUCUUAACCAUAAACUAUGCCGACUAGGGAUCGGGCGAUGUUAUCUUUUUGACUCCCUCGGCACCUUACAAGAAAUCAAAGUCUUUGGGUUCUGGGGGGGAAUAUGGUCCCCAGGCUGAAACUUAAAGAAAUUGGACGGAAGGGCACCACCCGGAGUGGAGCCUGCGGGUUAAUUUGACUCAACACCGGGGAAACUCACCAGGUCCAGACCCCAUAAGGAUUGACAAAUUGAGAGCUCUUUCUUGAUUUUGUGGGUGGUGGUGCAUGGCCGUUCUUAGUUGGUGGAGUGAUUUGUCUGCUUAAUUGCGAUAACGAACGAGACC